AGCUUUGCACAGUGGCAGUAAUAAAAUAGCUUUUGCAUGGACCACUGAGGUUUAUCUGAGGUGCAGUUAUUCCUCCUUGAAAACUUUUCCCAUCACCCCUCUAUGACAACUUGCAGUAUAGUCAGCAUUGACAAUUUUUGACGAUCUCUAUGGAGA
Non-coding RNA from Pongo abelii (Sumatran orangutan), 156 nucleotides. NCBI's taxonomy places the organism in Eukaryota, Metazoa, Chordata, Mammalia, Primates, Hominidae. The record is from Rfam.